This 468-nucleotide ribosomal RNA is filed under the name Listeria monocytogenes. RNAcentral describes it as "partial 23S ribosomal RNA". It matches the Rfam family "Bacterial large subunit ribosomal RNA", at positions 908 to 1375 of the family's 2925-position model. The record is from RNAcentral. Lineage: Bacteria; Bacillati; Bacillota; Bacilli; Caryophanales; Listeriaceae.
CACUGUUUGGACUAGGGGCCCUUCUCGGGUUACCGAAUUCAGAUAAACUCCGAAUGCCAUGUACUUAUACUCGGGAGUCAGACUGCGAGUGAUAAGAUCCGUAGUCGAAAGGGAAACAGCCCAGACCACCAGUUAAGGUCCCCAAAUAUAUGUUAAGUGGAAAAGGAUGUGGGGUUGCUUAGACAACCAGGAUGUUGGCUUAGAAGCAGCCACCAUUGAAAGAGUGCGUAAUAGCUCACUGGUCGAGUGACCCCGCGCCGAAAAUGUACCGGGGCUAAACAUAUUACCGAAACUGUGGAUGAACCUCUUUAGAGGUUCGUGGUAGGAGAGCGUUCUAAGGGCGGUGAAGUCAGACCGGAAGGACUGGUGGAGCGCUUAGAAGUGAGAAUGCCGGUAUGAGUAGCGAAAGAAGGGUGAGAAUCCCUUCCACCGAAUAUCUAAGGUUUCCUGAGGAAGGCUCGUCCGCUC